UUUUUUUUAUUUUUCAAUUUUCUCAAAAACUAGAAGGCAUAGGAACAAUUGGUUUUCAGCGUUUGAUUAGAAAUCAAUUUAGGCCGUUUAUUUUAUUAGAAAAUUUUGUAUUGAAAUCCACAGUCCUUACAAAAAUUGUAUUAAAUGGAAUUUUUUUUUGACUUUUGACUUUGAAAUCGAUUUUUUAUUAUUUUGAAAUAGCUUUGAUUUAAAAAUUUAAAUGAAGUGUGAAAUUCUGGCUUUUGAAAAAGGUAUUAUUCAUAACUAUGAACUGAGCAAUAUAAAAGCACAGUUUUUAUAGUAAAAAUAGUGCCAGUUGUACAAACUUGGAUCAGCCUUGGUUCAGGAAUUUAACUCGCCGAUUUCGGCGGAUUAGCUGCGGGUCAAACUCGGAUCAAGCAUGCAUGUGGCUAUUUUUACAUAUAUGGACCUUGAACAAGUGCUAAACCUCAGCUUUACUACCGAUUUUAGAAGAUAAAAGUUACUGAUCCACGGAUUAAAUAUUUGUACAACUGGCCCUUAAUGAGGAACACGGCGGGUAUUCAUGAAAAUGUGGUAAACGUGGUAAAAUGUGGUAAAUGAGCUGUCAAAAUCUGUAUGGAAAAACUUUACCAAAAUUUGGUACUUUCCAGUUUCCAGUGAAGUUUAAUUUUGAUUAUAAAAUAAACUAAAAUAACUCCAAGAGUUUCUAGCUCCAAAUAGACUUCAAAUAAA
Molecule: long non-coding RNA, 714 nt
Organism: Episyrphus balteatus (marmalade hoverfly)
Lineage: Eukaryota; Metazoa; Arthropoda; Insecta; Diptera; Syrphidae
Exons: 3
Source: RefSeq, a predicted model, not a curated record